UCGGUAUGCAAACGAAAAGCGUCCGUGAAGCCCCAGUCUUUGAUGUGCUGUAACGCUGCAUGCUCCUGUUCGCUGAACAUGAUGCGUCCCCGCCAGAGUCGUGGAUCGUGAACGUCGCGUUCCUCCGGAGCGACAUUGAAAUCGCCACACAGCAAUACCGGCUUCGUUCGAUCGUAGUUUGCGUCAAAGAACUCACGCAGCCGGUUCAUCCACUCGAGCUUGAAGCCAAACUUUUCCGAACCCACCAUCUGCCCAUUCGGAAUGUAGACAUUGACGAUAUCAAUGCCUUCGACAGUGCUGGUGAUUAAUCGCGACUGCGCGGUUGCAUCGUCGCCCGGAUAUCCACGGUG
This 350-nucleotide unclassified non-coding RNA is filed under the name uncultured bacterium. RNAcentral's name for it is "contains 16S-23S intergenic spacer region". The record is from RNAcentral.